UUAAAGGCGUUGAAGAGGAGUAGUAAGUUCUCCCCCCUGUCCCAGAGAACCGGCGGUCGCUGCAAGCCGGUACAGGGUCGAACCGAACUCGCCUCGGAGCCGCGGAGAUGAACCGUCCCCUUUCGGGGCGCCAGUUUUCGCCGUGAGCCUGCGUAAAAGGUCGAAGAGGGUCCGCAUGGACCAAAACAGGGUGGUACCGCGAAGCGCAAGCUCUCGCCCCUGCA
RNAcentral lists this non-coding RNA (224 nucleotides) under Desulfuromonas soudanensis. RNAcentral's name for it is "T-box sequence". It matches the Rfam family "T-box leader". From Rfam's summary of the family: Uncharged tRNA acts as the effector for transcription antitermination of genes in the T-box leader family. T-boxes are found upstream of many aminoacyl-tRNA synthetase genes and some amino acid biosynthetic genes usually in Gram-positive bacteria. The record is from RNAcentral. Lineage: Bacteria; Pseudomonadati; Thermodesulfobacteriota; Desulfuromonadia; Desulfuromonadales; Desulfuromonadaceae.